CUGCUGCCUCCCGUAGGAGUCUGGGCCGUGUCUCAGUCCCAAUGUGGCCGGCCAACCUCUCAGUCCGGCUACUGAUCGUCGCCUUGGUGAGCCGUUACCUCACCAACUAGCUAAUCAGACGCGAGUCCAUCUCAGAGCGAUAAAUCUUUGGCAGUCAGAGCCAUGCGACCCAACUGCAUCAUGCGGUAUUAGCAGUUGUUUCCAACUGUUAUUCCCCAUCCAAGGCAGGUUA
This 232-nucleotide ribosomal RNA is filed under the name uncultured bacterium. Its description in RNAcentral is "partial 16S ribosomal RNA". The record is from RNAcentral.